UCGGGAAUAUUGGACAAUGGGGGAAACCCUGAUCCAGCCACGCCGAGUGAGUGAUGAAGGCCUUAGGGUUGUAAAACUCUGUCGUAAGGGAAGAUAAUGACGGUACCUUACAAGAAAGCACCGGCUAACUCCGUGCCAGCAGCCGCGGUAAUACGGAGGGUGCAAGCGUUACUCGGAAUUACUGGGCGUAAAGCGAGCGCAGGCGGCUUAUUAAGUCGGGUGUGAAAGCCCGGGGCUCAACCCCGGAACUGCAUCCGAAACUGGUAAGCUAGAGGAUGAGAGAGGAAAGUAGAAUUUCUGGUGUAGAGGUGAAAUUCGUUGAUAUCAGAAGGAAUACCCGUGGCGAAGGCGGCUUUCUGGCUCAUUUCUGACGCUGAGGCUCGAAAGUGUGGGUAGCAAACAGG
RNAcentral lists this ribosomal RNA (404 nucleotides) under uncultured bacterium. RNAcentral's name for it is "bacterial SSU rRNA". It matches the Rfam family "Bacterial small subunit ribosomal RNA", at positions 355 to 776 of the family's 1533-position model. The record is from RNAcentral.